This 254-nucleotide ribosomal RNA is filed under the name uncultured bacterium. RNAcentral's name for it is "partial 16S ribosomal RNA". It matches the Rfam family "Bacterial small subunit ribosomal RNA", at positions 524 to 776 of the family's 1533-position model. The record is from RNAcentral.
CACGUAGGCACCAAGCGUUGUCCGGAUUUAUUGGGCGUAAAGGGCUCGUAGGCGGUUCAGUAAGUCGGGUGUGAAAACUUUGGGCUUAACCCAAAGCGUGCAUCCGAUACUGCUGUGACUUGAGUUCGGUAGGGGAGUGGGGAAUUCCUAGUGUAGCGGUGAAAUGCGCAGAUAUUAGGAGGAACACCGGUGGCGAAGGCGCCACUCUGGGCCGAAACUGACGCUGAGGAGCGAAAGCAUGGGUAGCAAACAGG